Molecule: long non-coding RNA, 501 nt
Filed under: Olea europaea subsp. europaea
Lineage: Eukaryota; Viridiplantae; Streptophyta; Magnoliopsida; Lamiales; Oleaceae
Source: RNAcentral
UUCACCACAAACAUAAUAAUCACAAUUUCCCCCAAUCCAGACCUUCCUUGGCCCCACCAUUAACUACCACUCAUUAAACAAUCCGAAGAUAAACUAUCAUUGUUUUAAAUUUUGAAAUAUUCCCUUUAGAAAAUGAAUUGAAGAGUCCAGAUUACAAUUUCUUGAAAAGGCCACUGUAAUCUGUGGACCGUCUCUCUACAAUUGUUAAAGUUCGAUGCACACAAGAGCAUAAUAAGAAAAAAUAUAAAAUAAUUUGUGUUCGUUUGAUCUUAUCCCUCUCACGUCGCGGCCUUAUAUUCAUUAUCAUUUUCCUCCUGUCUUUCUUUCUUACAUCUAUAUAUAUACGCAUAAAUCUGCUGAUUCCUGAUUUAAAUUAUCAAAGAUCGUAUCUUUUCGUUUCCAAGGUAAUUUCCUAAUCUGAGUUAAUUGUAUUUGCAUUUAUUUUGUUGAUUUUUUUUCGCAAUUACUAUUAUUAUUAUUAUUAUUUUUGGUUUAAUUUAU